CUCUUGGUCGCCUCCGCUCGGCCUCUUCCUCUUUACUCCUUCCUUCCUACUCCUCGCUCGCUCGCGCCCUCGCCUGCGCCGCGCCAAAACGCAUAAAAUUCCAUCACAACCAUUCGCCUUGUUCCCUCCCUCCCUCCCUCACCUCUCCCGCGCCCUCGCCAUGCCCGCGGCCGCUUCCUCUUGGCGUUUCUAGAUGGGCUCCUCCUCCCUCCUCCUCUUCCCCUCCUCCUCCUCCGCCUCUUAUUCCUCCUCCUCCUCACAUGCCAUCACCUCCUCUUCCUUACUGCCUCCUCUCCCCUCAUCCGACCACCACCACCACCUCCGCUACCUCCACCACCUAGAGGACCAACACCACG
This 356-nucleotide long non-coding RNA is filed under the name Oryza brachyantha (malo sina). RNAcentral's name for it is "long non-coding RNA (OBRA_LNC002765)". Lineage: Eukaryota; Viridiplantae; Streptophyta; Magnoliopsida; Poales; Poaceae. The record is from RNAcentral.